GAAAAAGCUUUAAGAUGGAAUCUCUAGGUCAUGAGUGCCAGAAACUGUGGUUUUGAUCUGAAGAUCAACGAUACAGUGACAUCUUACAGAUACUGUCACUGAUCUGCUAGCUCACCUUGUUACAUCAACCCAGACAUUCAACUUUCCAGCUCCUGUCAAAUCUUCUCCAAGUUCUGCCCCAGGUUCAUGGACAGCUCCAUGGUGAAAGGUGCUACUUUCUCUUGGUGAUCUUACAGUGUUGAGAUUGAAGGGAACGAGAGACAGGCAUUGGUUCUACUUCGCCUGUGGGUCCAGUUUGUCCCCACCAGU
This 309-nucleotide long non-coding RNA is filed under the name Sus scrofa (pig). Its description in RNAcentral is "lncRNA (ENSSSCG00015047979.1)". The record is from RNAcentral. Lineage: Eukaryota; Metazoa; Chordata; Mammalia; Artiodactyla; Suidae.